This 492-nucleotide ribosomal RNA is filed under the name uncultured bacterium. RNAcentral's name for it is "partial 16S ribosomal RNA". It matches the Rfam family "Bacterial small subunit ribosomal RNA", at positions 29 to 507 of the family's 1533-position model. The record is from RNAcentral.
AGUGAACGCUGGCGGUAGGCCUAACACAUGCAAGUCGAACGGCAGCACAGUAAGAGCUUGCUCUUACGGGUGGCGAGUGGCGGACGGGUGAGGAAUACAUCGGAAUCUACUUUUUCGUGGGGGUUAACGUAGGGAAACUUACGCUAAUACCGCAUACGACCUACGGGUGAAAGCAGGGGAUCUUCGGACCUUGCGCGAUUGAAUGAGCCGAUGUCGGAUUAGCUAGUUGGCGGGGUAAAGGCCCACCAAGGCGACGAUCCGUAGCUGGUCUGAGAGGAUGAUCAGCCACACUGGAACUGAGACACGGUCCAGACUCCUACGGGAGGCAGCAGUGGGGAAUAUUGGACAAUGGGCGCAAGCCUGAUCCAACCAUACCGCGUGGGUGAAGAAGGCCUUCGGGUUGUAAAGCCCUUUUGUGGGGAAAGAAAAGCAGCAGGUUAAUACCCCGCUGUUCUGACGGUACCCAAAGAAUAAGCACCGGCUAACUUCGUG